This 253-nucleotide ribosomal RNA is filed under the name uncultured bacterium. RNAcentral describes it as "partial 16S ribosomal RNA". It matches the Rfam family "Bacterial small subunit ribosomal RNA", at positions 524 to 776 of the family's 1533-position model. The record is from RNAcentral.
UACGUAGGGGGCAAGCGUUGUCCGGAUUUAUUGGGCGUAAAGAGCGUGUAGGCGGCCUGUUGCGUCCGCUGUGAAAUCCCGGGGCUUAACCCCGGGCGUGCAGUGGAUACGGGCAGGCUGGAGGCAGGCAGGGGAGAACGGAAUUCCCGGUGUAGCGGUGAAAUGCGCAGAUAUCGGGAGGAACACCGGUGGCGAAGGCGGUUCUCUGGGCCUGUACUGACGCUGAGGAGCGAAAGCGUGGGGAGCAAACAGG